RNAcentral lists this ribosomal RNA (468 nucleotides) under uncultured bacterium. Its description in RNAcentral is "partial 16S ribosomal RNA". It matches the Rfam family "Bacterial small subunit ribosomal RNA", at positions 28 to 507 of the family's 1533-position model. The record is from RNAcentral.
GACGAACGCUGGCGGCGUGCUUAACACAUGCAAGUCGAACGGAAAGGCCCUGCUUUUGUGGGGUGCUCGAGUGGCGAACGGGUGAGUAACACGUGAGUAACCUGCCCUUGACUUUGGGAUAACUUCAGGAAACUGGGGCUAAUACCGGAUAGGAGCUCCUGCUGCAUGGUGGGGGUUGGAAAGUUUCGGCGGUUGGGGAUGGACUCGCGGCUUAUCAGCUUGUUGGUGGGGUAGUGGCUUACCAAGGCUUUGACGGGUAGCCGGCCUGAGAGGGUGACCGGCCAAAUUGGGACUGAGAAACGGCCCAAACUCCUACGGGAGGCAGCAGUGGGGAAUAUUGCACAAUGGGCGGAAGCCUGAUGCAGCAACGCCGCGUGCGGGAUGACGGCCUUCGGGUUGUAAACCGCUUUCGCCUGUGACGAAGCGUGAGUGGCGGUAAUGGGUAAAGAAGCACCGGCUAACUACGUG